Molecule: non-coding RNA, 30 nt
Organism: halophilic archaeon J07HX5
Lineage: Archaea; Methanobacteriati; Methanobacteriota; Halobacteria; Halobacteriales
Source: Rfam
GUUUCAGACGAACCCUUGUAGGGUUGAAGC